CGGGGUGUAGCGCAGCCUGGUAGCGCAGCUGCUUUGGGAGCAGCGGGUCGCUGGUUCAAAUCCAGUCACCCCGACCA
Molecule: transfer RNA, 77 nt
Filed under: Alphaproteobacteria bacterium
Lineage: Bacteria; Pseudomonadati; Pseudomonadota; Alphaproteobacteria
Description: tRNA-Pro
Rfam family: tRNA
About the family: Transfer RNA (tRNA) molecules are approximately 80 nucleotides in length. Their secondary structure includes four short double-helical elements and three loops (D, anti-codon, and T loops). Further hydrogen bonds mediate the characteristic L-shaped molecular structure. tRNAs have two regions of fundamental functional importance: the anti-codon, which is responsible for specific mRNA codon recognition, and the 3' end, to which the tRNAs corresponding amino acid is attached (by aminoacyl-tRNA synthetases). tRNAs cope with the degeneracy of the genetic code in two manners: having more than one tRNA (with a specific anti-codon) for a particular amino acid; and 'wobble' base-pairing, i.e. permitting non-standard base-pairing at the 3rd anti-codon position.
Source: RNAcentral